AUUAUCUGGGCGUGGUGGUGGUUGCCUGUAAUCCCAGCUACUCAGGGAGAAUCACUUGAACCCAGGAGGCCAAGAUCAUGCCACUGCACUGCAGCCCGGGUGACAGAGCAAGACUCUCUCUCAAAAAAAAAAAAAAAAGAAAAAAAGAGAUUAGUCUCCCAAAAGUUACUGUUGAAAAUCGGACACCAUCCAAACCAGCAGAUGUUUGUGGGAGUAUUCUCUGUCUUCCAGAACGACUACGGUCAGAAGAUGGGCAGCCAAUGGUGCUCAAACUCAAGGACUGGCCUCCUGGGGAAGAUUUUCGAGACAUGAUGCCAACCAGGUUUGAAGAUCUGAUGGAGAACCUUCCUCUGCCAGAAUAUACCAAACGAGAUGGCAGGCUCAAUCUGGCCUCUAGGCUACCUAGCUAUUUUGUAAGGCCUGAUCUGGGCCCCAAGAUGUACAACGCCUAUGGGUUGAUAACAGCAGAAGAUAGAAGAGUUGGUACAACAAAUCUUCACUUAGAUGUGUCUGAUGCUGUUAAUGUGAUGGUGUAUGUUGGGAUUCCCAUCGGGGAGGGUGCUCAUGAUGAAG
This 573-nucleotide small RNA is filed under the name Pan troglodytes (chimpanzee). RNAcentral's name for it is "retained intron". The record is from RNAcentral. Lineage: Eukaryota; Metazoa; Chordata; Mammalia; Primates; Hominidae.